RNAcentral lists this transfer RNA (62 nucleotides) under Celleporella hyalina. RNAcentral describes it as "tRNA-Met". The record is from RNAcentral. Lineage: Eukaryota; Metazoa; Bryozoa; Gymnolaemata; Cheilostomatida; Hippothoidae.
AGGUUAAGUAAGCUAAAAAAGCUGUCAGGUUCAUACCCUGAAUAUGGUAAUACCUUAACUUU